RNAcentral lists this ribosomal RNA (323 nucleotides) under uncultured Chloroflexota bacterium. RNAcentral describes it as "bacterial SSU rRNA". It matches the Rfam family "Bacterial small subunit ribosomal RNA", at positions 28 to 351 of the family's 1533-position model. The record is from RNAcentral. Lineage: Bacteria; Bacillati; Chloroflexota.
GAUGAACGCUGGCGGCGUGCCUAAUACAUGCAAGUCGAACGGGGUAUUUGAGCAAUCGAAUACUUAGUGGCGAACGGGUGAGUAACGCGUUGGUGACCUGCCCCGAAGUGUGGGAUAACAGUCCGAAAGGACUGCUAAUACCGCAUGCGGUCAUCGGGUUUAGAAACCGAUGACCAAAGCAGCAAUGCGCUUUGGGAGGGACCUGCGUCCCAUCAGCUAGUUGGUAGGGUAACGGCCUACCAAGGCUACGACGGGUAGGGGACCUGAGAGGGUGACCCCCCACAAUGGAACUGAAAUACGGUCCAUACACCUACGGGAGGCUG